RNAcentral lists this unclassified non-coding RNA (332 nucleotides) under soil metagenome. RNAcentral describes it as "partial contains 5.8S ribosomal RNA, internal transcribed spacer 2, and large subunit ribosomal RNA". The stretch from base 1 to 120 matches the Rfam family "5.8S ribosomal RNA", at positions 35 to 154 of the family's 154-position model. The record is from RNAcentral.
GAUGAAGAACGUAGCGAAAUGCGAUAAGUAGUGUGAAUUGCAGAAUUCAGUGAAUCAUCGAAUCUUUGAACGCACAUUGCGCCCUUUGGUAUUCCUUAGGGCAUGCCUGUUCGAGCGUCAUUUAAACCUUCAAGCUAAGCUUGGUGUUGGGUGACUGUCCGCUUCACGGCGGACUCGCCUCAAAAUUAUUGGCGGCCGGUACAUUGGCUUCGAGCGCAGCAGAAACGCGAACUCGGGCCCGUCGUAUUGGCUCCCAGAAGCUGUCUUCACAAUUUUGACCUCGGAUCAGGUAGGGAUACCCGCUGAACUUAAGCAUAUCAAUAAGCGGAGGA